Molecule: long non-coding RNA, 906 nt
Organism: Helianthus annuus (common sunflower)
Lineage: Eukaryota; Viridiplantae; Streptophyta; Magnoliopsida; Asterales; Asteraceae
Exons: 4
Source: RefSeq, a predicted model, not a curated record
AAAAAAACUUUCAUCCUCCACUUUUCCUGCGUUUACAUCUGCCUUACACAUGUGGGAUUGAGAUAUAGACAAAGAUCACGAGAGAGGGAGGCGGAGCUGCCGGCGGAGCACGGCGGCGAUGGAUCUGUUCAUUGCCAUGACCGUUCUCCUUCCGAUCAUCAUCAGUCAACGCUACCAUGAUCAAUAACGAAGCCGCCGUUUCCACCACCACCACCACCGUCGCAGCACCACCAUCAAAGGUUCAACUUCCACAGUGGCAGCGGCAAGAAGGUAUUUUGAGGGUUGGACACUGAUUUAUUGUACAUCAGGCUUUUGGUUUUGUAAACUUAUUGAAAGAGAUGAAGAUGCGAGAGGAAGAGAGAGAGUGGAAUCGACUUUGGUUUUCCGGUGUACAGGGUUUCGAUUAUGACUUACAGACUCACCUUCGCCGUCUCAAUUUUCAGAGACCAGUUAAUUACAGGUUAAGGAUGAAGUAGUAGGUUACAAGUGGUAAGCAGGGGCACAAGUUUGAUUUUCAAAGGAUUUAACCACCAGAAGAUGCCUUUUAGUUUUGGUUAACAAAUGCAACAACAGCUUUGAAUCUUCGUCUUCCAGAUUAAAAAAAUGUGACAUCAAAAUUCUUAGGAAGCAGUGGCAAUGGCAGUCGAAUGCUUGGAUUCGUCGGAGGAAACGGAACCGGUAGUAAAACAAACGGUGGUGCAAGUAAGAGUGGCCAUGUGGGAGGGUUAAGUAAUGGUAGCAGUUCGACCGUUGGUUCGAAUACUUCGGAUGGUAAAGGCACUUAUUUGAUAUUCAAUGUAGGAGAUACUUUGUAUAUUAAAGAACUCAAUUCCGAAGAAAAGGUAAUUGCGAUACUUUCAAGUUUUGAAAUUCGAAUGCUAAUUAAUUAUUGAUUAGAUUUUGACC